Miniopterus natalensis is the source of this 2966-nucleotide non-coding RNA. Lineage: Eukaryota; Metazoa; Chordata; Mammalia; Chiroptera; Miniopteridae. The record is from RefSeq and is a predicted model, not a curated record.
ACUCCCAACUAAACAAUCCCGGACAAAGAUCUUUUUUUUUUUUCCCAAUAACAUCUCCCAAACCUCCGUCCAGCUUGAUCUUCCAGACUCCCUGGCACCGGGCCGAGCUUACGGGACUACCUAGAGAGUGACCACAUUGGAUCCAAACUGCCUUUUUUUCUGGCUGUGGCCCAAACCCACAAAUUGGAAGGAAGGAAGACUGGCUGUGCCUGCAUGGAGCUGGUUCUCUGUUGGACGUAACCUGUACCAUCUCCCUGCCAGCUACUCCUAUUUUUCUUUUUGAUGAAGCCCAAGUUCAACUAAGAGGCCUCCUCCUACUACCAGCUCCUCCCAGGUGCCUCUGCUUCCCGUUCCUCCUUCCAUCUGCCUGCCUCCUCCUCACCACCUCACCCCACUGAUUGGCAGUGGGUCCUUGACUCUACUGAAGCACCAGGCCUCCCAGGGGAAAAGCUGAGCACAUCACCUUAGGCCAACCAGAGGGAGGUGUCAUGGGUGCCUCAGAGGAAGAGCUGCCUCUUCUGGGAGCUGAGAGCUGAGUCUGCUGCAGGAACCAAAGUCCCUGUCACAGAACAUCUUGGGCUUACAUGACCUGAUCAUGGACCGUCCUGAACAUUGAAUCAAUGAGGACGAUGGUUUCUAAGCAUGUACCUAUGACUUGUUGCCAUUUCUGUUCAUGGAAUUCUGUAUUAAUUUUGUUGAACCUAGUUCAUCUUGAGAAUGUGCUCUUAUGAUGUUUUUUUUACCCCUGUACAUGUACGUUUUUGAGCAUGGACACCCUAAUCAUGGACCCCUCUAAUCAUGUCCUCUCUGAUUAUACACUUCCAUUAUCUUAACUGCUCAUGGGCAUGUAAUCUCUUGAUCAUGUAUAAAACCUGAGUAUGUACUUUCUGAGCAUGGAAGGCCUGAGCAGGGAGCUGGCUGAUUAUGUACCUUCAGACCAUAGACCUCUCCUUAGGAGCUUGAACCCUCAUGAUCUUGGAUUUUCUGAGUAUGAAUGCACUCUUAUAAUGUAACCCUUCAGAGAAUUAACAACACUGAGCAUGGACCCUCUUGUGUGGAUACCCUGAACCUAAAAGCCCAAGGAAUAUGCACUCUGGAUCAUGGAACCUCUGGAUGUAAUCAUUUUUUAACAGCAACUCAAUAAGCAUGGACACUUCUGAUUAUAGACUGCCCUAAAGAUCAACUUCCCUAAUCAGAGCCAAUUUCCAGCAUGUACCUACUUGCUAGUUCAUCCUCUGUAUGUGUCCAACCUGAGCAUCAAAACCCUCAUCAAGGCACCUACCGACCGUGACAUACUUCAAUUUUAAUCUCCCUUGAAUGUCACACCACUUGAGCAUAUACUCUUUUCUUGAUGUUUAAUAACUGAACAUGUAAAAUCUGUGCAUGGAAACUUUUGAGCACGGACACACACUGAGUAUAAAACACUCUUGAGAACAAACAGCUUAUCCGUGACCUCUGUAGUGUGGAUAACUUGAGGAUAAACACCAUGAACACAAAUCCCCUGAACGUGGAAUCAUUGACUGCAAUUAUAUCUAAGCAUGAAUCUAAGAAGAGUGGACAUUUCUGUUCAUGGAAUUCUGUAAGUAUUAAUUUUCCUUAUUGUUGUUUACCUACAGAAUGUUCUGUUGUGAUGUUUUAUAACCCCUUUUCCUGUACCUUCCUGUGCAUGAAAUCUCUAAUUGUAUAUUCCUCUAAUCAUGACCUACUUUGAUUGUAAGCUCCCCUUAACAUGGCCCCAUUUGAGCAUAUAUCUUCUAGAUUGCAUUUAAUAUACUAACUCAUACUUUCCUGAACGUGGAUUCUGCUGAGCAUGGAGCCUUUUGAAUUUGGACGACUCUGAGAAUGACACAUUUCAGAAAAUGUAUCGCCAAGACCAUAGAAUGUCUUCCUGUGGGACAUCCUGAGCUUAAACAAUCUGAGAAAGGAACCUUCUGAACAUGGAAUCACAGAGCGCAGUCAUUUCUAAGCAUACAUCUGAGAAUUGUUGAUGUAAAUCCAUGGACUUCUGUAAUUUCCUUGAUCUUACAUCAUCCUGGAAAUGUACCAUUGUGAAUUUGUGUAACAACAUACGAGUACUUUACUAACCAUGGACGCUCUAAUUUUUGAUCCCCCUACUCAUGUAUUCUGUUCAUUUAAACUCCCGUGAUAUUAGUGUCUCUUGACCAUGUAUAACACUGGUCAUUUAUAAAAACUGAAAAUGUUCUCUGAGCCUGAUCAGUGACAUGGCUUACUAUGUACCUUCAGAACACAGACCCUGCCUCAUGAGCAUGAACUCAUGUGAUCCUACACCUUUCUGAGUAUGAAUGCCCUCUGAUAAUGGAACCAGUCUGAGAAAUACCAACACUCUGCAUGGACCCAUAGUGUGGAAUAUCCUGAACAUAAAGGUCGAAGGAAUGUACUGUUUUGAUCAUGAAAUCCUUGUGCGUAAUCAGUGAUCAAUGAUACACAUCGACUCAAUUAGCAUGGACACUUCUGAUGAUGGACUGCCCUAAGAAUCAACUUCCCUUAUCGGACCCAAAUUUGAACAUGUACCUAAUUGGUAGUUUAUCCCCUGUAUGUGUACCAGCCUGAGCAUCAAAAUCCUCAGCAUGGAACCUACUGACCAUGACAUACUGCGAUUUUAAUCUCCCUUGAAUAUCGUGCCACUUGAGUAUAUACUCUUCUCUUGAUGUUUAAUCACUGAACUUGUAAAAUCUGGGCAUGGAAACGUGUGAGUAAGAACACACACUGAGAAUAAAAAUCUUGUGAGAACAAAUAGCUUAUCCAUAGCCUCUCUUGUGUGGAUAACUUGAGGAUAAACAAGAGGAACAUGGAUCUUCUGAACAUGAAGAAUGAACGGUAUUACAUUUAAGUGUAAAUCUAAGAAGGGUGGGCAUUCGUUUCAUUGAAUUCUGUAAGUACUAAUUUCCCUGAUCCAAUUUUACCUUGAGAAUGUUCUUUUAUAAUUUUGUGUAACAACUUUUCCU